AUGAACGCUGGCGGCGUGCCUAAUACCUGCAAGUCGAGCGAACAGACGAGGAGCUUGCUCCUCUGACGUUAGCGGCGGACGGGUGAGUAACACGUGGAUAACCUACCUAUAAGACUGGGAUAACUUCGGGAAACCGGAGCUAAUCCCGGAUAAUAUAUUGAACCGCAUGGUUCAUUAGUAAAAGACGUUUUUGCUUUCAUUUAUAGUUGGUUCCGCGCCGCAUUAGCUAGUUGGUAAGGUAACGGCUUACCAAGGCAACGAUGCGUAGCCGACCUGAGAGGGUGAUCGGCCACACUGGAACUGAGACACGGUCCAGACUCCUACGGAGGCAGCAGUAGGGAAUCUUCCGCAAUGGGCGAAAGCCUGACGGAGCAACGCCGCGUGAGUGAUGAAGGUCUUCGGAUCGUAAAACUCUGUUAUUAGGGAAGAACAAAUGUGUAAGUAACUAUGCACGUCUUGACGGUACCUAAUCAGAAAGCCACGGCUAACUACGUG
RNAcentral lists this ribosomal RNA (495 nucleotides) under uncultured bacterium. RNAcentral describes it as "partial 16S ribosomal RNA". It matches the Rfam family "Bacterial small subunit ribosomal RNA", at positions 29 to 507 of the family's 1533-position model. The record is from RNAcentral.